CGCGGUAAUUUGACCGUGCGAAGGUAGCAUAAUCAAUAGUCUCUUAAUUGGAGGCUGGAAUGAAUGGUCGUACAAGAAGCAGUCUGUCUUUUUUAUAAGAAUUGAAUUUAACUUUUAAGUGAAAAGGCUUAAAUUUUUUGGGGGGACGAUAAGACCCUAUAAAACUUUACAUGAGUUAGCUAGUUUUUAAAUUUAGGUGUUAAUAAGAAUUAUCUUAAUCUUGUUACGUUGGGGCGACGAAAAUAUAAAUUGUAACUGUUUGUAGGUUAAAAUAAAAGUAUUUAGAUUAGUUGAUCCUUUAUUAAGGACUAUAAGAUUAAGUUACUUUAGGGAUAACAGCGUGAUUUUUUCUGAGAGUUCUUAUCGACGAAAGUAGUUGCGACCUCGAUGUUGAAUUAAAGUUUCGUCAAGGUGUAGAAG
RNAcentral lists this ribosomal RNA (420 nucleotides) under Meningodora sp. AL-2010. RNAcentral's name for it is "partial 16S ribosomal RNA". It matches the Rfam family "Bacterial large subunit ribosomal RNA", at positions 1932 to 2561 of the family's 2925-position model. Lineage: Eukaryota; Metazoa; Arthropoda; Malacostraca; Decapoda; Oplophoridae. The record is from RNAcentral.